RNAcentral lists this ribosomal RNA (465 nucleotides) under uncultured bacterium. RNAcentral's name for it is "partial 16S ribosomal RNA". It matches the Rfam family "Bacterial small subunit ribosomal RNA", at positions 28 to 507 of the family's 1533-position model. The record is from RNAcentral.
GACGAACGCUGGCGGCGUGCUUAACACAUGCAAGUCGAACGGAAAGGCCCUGCUUGCAGGGUACUCGAGUGGCGAACGGGUGAGUAACACGUGGGUGAUCUGCCCUGCACUUCGGGAUAAGCCUGGGAAACUGGGUCCAAUACCGGAUAGGAGCCAUUUUCAGUGUGAUGGUUGGAAAGUUUUUUCGGUGUAGGAUGAGCUCGCGGCCUAUCAGCUUGUUGGUGGGGUAAUGGCCUACCAAGGCGGCGACGGGUAGCCGGCCUGAGAGGGUGGACGGCCACAUUGGGACUGAGAUACGGCCCAGACUCCUACGGGAGGCAGCAGUGGGGAAUAUUGCACAAUGGGCGCAAGCCUGAUGCAGCGACGCCGCGUGGGGGAGGACGGCCUUCGGGUUGUAAACUCCUUUCGCUAGGGACGAAGCUUUUUGUGACGGUACCUAGAUAAGAAGCACCGGCUAACUACGUG